CCCCAGUAAACGGCGGCCGUAACUAUAACGGUCCUAAGGUAGCGAAAUUCCUUGUCGGGUAAGUUCCGACCCGCACGAAAGGCGUAACGAUUUGGGCACUGUCUCAACGAGAGACUCGGUGAAAUCAUAGUACCGGUGAAGAUGCCGGUUACCCGCGACAGGACGGAAAGACCCCGUGGAGCUUUACUGUAGCCUGAUAUUGAAAUUCGGUACAGUUUGUACAGGAUAGGUAGGAGCCUUAGAAGCGUGAGCGCUAGCUUACGUGGAGGCAUUGGUGGGAUACUACCCUAAUUGUAUUGGAUUUCUAACCCGCAGCACUUAUCGUGCUGGGAGACAGUGUCAGGCGGGCAGUUUGACUGGGGCGGUCGCCUCCUAAAGAGUAACGGAGGCGCUCAAAGGUUCCCUCAGAAUGGUUGGAAAUCAUUCAUAGAGUGUAAAGGCAUAAGGGAGCUUGACUGCGAGACCUACAAGUCGAGCAGGGUCGAAAGACGGACUUAGUGAUCCGGUGGUUCCGCAUGGAAGGGCCAUCGCUCAACGGAUAAAAGCUACCCCGGGGAUAACAGGCUUAUCUCCCCCAAGAGUUCACAUCGACGGGGAGGUUUGGCACCUCGAUGUCGGCUCAUCGCAUCCUGGGGCUGUAGUCGGUCCCAAGGGUUGGGCUGUUCGCCCAUUAAAGCGGUACGCGAGCUGGGUUCAGAACGUCGUGAGACAGUUCGGUCCCUAUCCGUCGUGGGCGUAGGAAAUUUGAGAGGAGCUGUCCUUAGUACGAGAGGACCGGGAUGGACAUACCUCUGGUGUACCAGUU
This 805-nucleotide ribosomal RNA is filed under the name Staphylococcus pseudintermedius. RNAcentral's name for it is "partial 23S ribosomal RNA". It matches the Rfam family "Bacterial large subunit ribosomal RNA", at positions 1918 to 2722 of the family's 2925-position model. Lineage: Bacteria; Bacillati; Bacillota; Bacilli; Caryophanales; Staphylococcaceae. The record is from RNAcentral.